UCUCAGGGAAAAACCAAAGGAAGAGGAUUGGUCAUGGAAGACUGUGCACCAAAAUGAUUGAAAUGCCAACAUCUACGUUAGAAGAAAUGCCACAAUCAUUUUCUGCAAUCACAUUAAGUAACACAGAGAUGAAUAAUAUUAAGACUAAUGCACAGAGAAACAAACUUCCAAUAGAGGAACUUGGUAAAGUUUCUAAACAUAAAAUGGCCACUAAAAGAACACCACAUAAAGAAGAUGAGGCAAUGAGCUGUUCUGAAAAUUGUUCGGGUGCCCAGGGCGAGUCAUUUCAGGAUGAGUCUCAAGGAUCUCAUUCUGAGUCCAGCUCUAAUCCCUCCAAUCCUGAAACUUUGUAUGCAAAGGCAACUGAUUCAGUUCUACAAGGUUCUGAAGGAAACAAGGUCAAGAGGACAUCCUGCAUGUAUGGGGCAAACUGCUAUAGGAAGAAUCCUGUUCAUUUUCAACAUUUUAGCCAUCCUGGUGAUAGUGAUUAUGAAGGUGUACAAAUCGUGGGCCAAGAUGAGACUGAUGACCGGCCUGAAUGUCCCUAUGGACCAUCCUGUUAUAGGAAGAAUCCCCAGCACAAGAUAGAAUAUAGACAUAGUACACUUCCAGAGGCUGAUUCAGCACAUAAUAUUUCUGCUCACAGAGUGAGAAAAUAAAAUGCAUACUAUCAAGGCUGCGCUCACUUGCAUUUAUAUGUGUAUACAAACAGCUGACUUGUAAUCAAUGAGAAAUGUUUUAGAUGAAGAUAACGAUAAUGUUGGGCAACCCAAUGAAUAUGACCUGAACGACAGCUUUCUAGAUGAUGAGGAAGAAGACUAUGAGCCAACAGAUGAAGAUUCUGACUGGGAACCAGGAAAGGAAGAUGAAGGGAAGGAAGAUGUGGAAGAGCUUUUGAAAGAAGCAAAAAGCAAAUAAUUUUCCGCAUCUUCACUCUUCAUCUUCUCACCCUCUUCUGGACAACUCCUGACAUUCUGUGAUAUUCAGCAUUCACCAUAAACAUUGCAUGAUUCAGUUCUCCUUGAUAUCUUGGUGCUUGGACUCUUCACUGUUGGCAUCAUUAGGUCAGCAGGUGAACACUCAGGAUUGUCUCUCUUCUGUUAGUAGAGCACCAAAAGACAGGGUCUGGCUCUGUCACGUAAGCCAGAGUGCAAUGGUACAAUCACCAUUGACUGCAGUCUCAAAUUCCUGGGUUCAAGCAAUCCUCCUGCCUCAGGUUCCCAAGCAGCUGGGACUACAGGCAUGUACCACCAUGCCCAGGGAAUGGUGUCUGGACCCAGAGAAUAACUGGAUCUUCAAGGAAGGAAGAGAAAUCUUUAGAAGAACGUGGAUUCUCCCCACUGGUAGUUAGUUGUCUCUUCCAUAUCCAGAAAUAACCUGAACAGGGCCACUGUGCGUAGUAUCCUCCCAGGAAAACGCCAAGAUUCUCCAAGACACUUUCGUAUCCUAAGCCCUGUUCUGUUUGUUCUUAUGUAGUAAAUUGGCAAAUUUGGCAGUACAGAAGACAUCUCUAACCUGAUGUCACAAAGAAUCA
Molecule: small RNA, 1534 nt
Filed under: Pongo abelii (Sumatran orangutan)
Lineage: Eukaryota; Metazoa; Chordata; Mammalia; Primates; Hominidae
Description: processed transcript
Source: RNAcentral